UUAUUGGAGAGUUUGAUCCUGGCUCAGGACGAACGCUGGCGGCGUGCCUAAUACAUGCAAGUCGAGCGGACUUGAUGGAGUGCUUGCACUCCUGAUGGUUAGCGGCGGACGGGUGAGUAACACGUAGGCAACCUGCCCUCAAGACUGGGAUAACUACCGGAAACGGUAGCUAAUACCGGAUAAUUUAUUUCACAGCAUUGUGGAAUAAUGAAAGACGGAGCAAUCUGUCACUUGGGGAUGGGCCUGCGGCGCAUUAGCUAGUUGGUGGGGUAAUGGCUCACCAAGGCGACGAUGCGUAGCCGACCUGAGAGGGUGAACGGCCACACUGGGACUGAGACACGG
This 342-nucleotide ribosomal RNA is filed under the name Staphylococcus aureus. Its description in RNAcentral is "bacterial SSU rRNA". It matches the Rfam family "Bacterial small subunit ribosomal RNA", at positions 1 to 329 of the family's 1533-position model. Lineage: Bacteria; Bacillati; Bacillota; Bacilli; Caryophanales; Staphylococcaceae. The record is from RNAcentral.